GGGCCCGCACAAGCGGUGGAGUAUGUGGUUUAAUUCGAUGCAACGCGAAGAACCUUACCAGGGUUUGACAUCCUGCGAACCUCUUGGAAACGAGAGGGUGCCUUCGGGAACGCAGUGACAGGUGGUGCAUGGCUGUCGUCAGCUCGUGUCGUGAGAUGUUGGGUUAAGUCCCGCAACGAGCGCAACCCACAUCCCUAGUUGCCAGCAGUUCGGCUGGGCACUCUAUGGAAACUGCCCGUGAUAAGCGGGAGGAAGGUGUGGAUGACGUCAAGUCCUCAUGGCCCUUACGGGUUGGGCUACACACGUGCUACAAUGGUGGUGACAAUGGGUUAAUCCCAAAAAGCCAUCUCAGUUCGGAUUGGAGUCUGCAACUCGACUCCAUG
Molecule: ribosomal RNA, 383 nt
Filed under: uncultured bacterium
Lineage: Bacteria
Description: bacterial SSU rRNA
Rfam family: Bacterial small subunit ribosomal RNA
Source: RNAcentral